This 1063-nucleotide ribosomal RNA is filed under the name Vermiviatum covidum. RNAcentral describes it as "16S ribosomal RNA". The stretch from base 850 to 1008 matches the Rfam family "Archaeal large subunit ribosomal RNA", at positions 2544 to 2703 of the family's 2987-position model. Lineage: Eukaryota; Metazoa; Platyhelminthes; Tricladida; Geoplanidae. The record is from RNAcentral.
UAAAUAGAAAAAAUUUGUUUAAAAUUAUUUUUAAUCCUUUUUGUAUAACGGUUUUUAGGAAAAAAAAUUUAUUAAAAUUAUUUCUCGAAAAAAAAAUAUUUAAAUUAAAUUUAAAUGAAAUUAGAAGUUUAUUCCUAUGUAGAUAAUACAUAAUUUUAUUGAAUUGAAGAGUAUAUUCUUUAUGAAUUUAUUCUUUUCAAAAACUAUAAGCAAAAAUUUAAUUUAGAAGUGAAAUUUUUUUCGAUUUUUUUUAUCUAGUAAAUUUUAGGAAGAGAAAAAGCUUUUCGAAAAAUAAAAAAAUUUUUGUGGAUAAAAAUAAAAAAAUCUUUAUUUUAGAAUAAAUUAAGACUUCAAAUUGGUUCUCUAUUUUUAAUAAAAAUUUCAAUUUAAAAAAUCAGUCCAAAAUUAAUAUAAUAUAAAUUUUUAAAGUAUCUUUUGAAGAAAUUAAAAAAUUAGUAUAAAAAAAGAAAUAAAGAAAUCAAUUUUGCUUUUCAACUGUUUAUUAAAAACAUUUCUUUUUUUUUAAAAAGUAUUUCCUGCUCAAUGAAUGAAAAUUAAGUUUAAAUUGCUGCAGUAUUCUGACUGUGCAAAGGUAGCAUAAUUACUUGUCUAUUAAAAAUAGAAUUGUUUGAAUGGAUUAAUGAAAAAGUUUUUUUUUUAUUUUUUAAAAUAGUUUAGUUAAGAACUUAAAUAAAGAGUGAAGAUUCUCUUAAUAAUAUAGUAAACUUAAGACGAAAAGACCCUACAGAGUUUUGAAUCAAAUAUUUUAUAUGUAUAAUGUUUUUUAAUGGGGAAUUAGAGAAAAUAUUUUUUUUUAAUUAAUUCAAUAGUAAAUAAAACUUCCUUAGGGAUAACAGGGCAAUAAAAUUUUAGAGUUCUUAUCACAAAUUUUGCUUGCUACCUCGAUGUUGAAUCAUAAUAAAAAUUAAAUGAAGAUAUUUAAUAUUUUAGUCUGUUCGACUAUUGAAAUUUUUCGUGAUUUGAGUUUAGACCGAUGUAAAUCAGGUUGGUUUUUAUCUAAUAGGUUAAAGUGUUGUACGAAAGGACUCAGCUUUGUUAAAUU